Long non-coding RNA from Lucilia sericata (common green bottle fly), 1408 nucleotides. RefSeq lists it as uncharacterized. The record is from RefSeq and is a predicted model, not a curated record. Lineage: Eukaryota; Metazoa; Arthropoda; Insecta; Diptera; Calliphoridae. The transcript has 3 exons.
CUUUUGGAGUGUCAACAUCGAAAAUUUAAUCUUCUCAGACAAAAUCUGUAAAUUUUCCAAGAAUCAUUUAAUAAAUGAGAAAGAUUUAUUAACAUUAUCCACUGAAUAUUCACCAAUUACACACCAUCAGGAAAAGGUUUCUAGCCUAUCGUUAUCUUACCUUGACACCUAGAUUUGGAAUUUGAACCCAUCAACUGGUAAAAAUUUCUUUACCAUUCAUGAAUAUUUGCAAGCUCAAUUUGCAAGAAAAUCCCAUAAACACUCAGAACACAAAUCCCAAGCCUGACGAGGGAAUCCUCUUCCAGGGGAUUCCUUUUUGGUGACUCACCAGACAGAUAUCUGCCGGCGAUUGCGCAGUAGACAGGUUUGCUCUUUUUUCCAACAUCUCAUAAUCAACAUUCUCAUCAUGCAUCUCUAAAACAUCUUAAAACAACAACAACAUCAUUUUAUAAAAACCACCACCAUAAAUCAUCGUGCUCAACAUUAUGCUCAAAUACUCCAAAUCAAUAGUUCUCUUGCAAUGAAAACAAAUCCAUAAUUCUCCUCAUAAUAUAUUACUCCAAACAAAUCAUAAACAAAAGUAAAAGUGCAAAACAAAACAAUACAGAAAUAACUAAAACAGUGGUCCCCAAACAUGUAAAGUUAGCCCAAAAUCCAGUGAUUCCCAAAAUUUUUAUGAAAAAAAUGCAAAAUAAUCUGUGAUAGUUUAAAAAAUUUUGUUAAAUUAACUAAAAAUGAUAAAGUACUCAAAUGUAAAAGUAGUUUGCAAAUAUAGAAAUGUUAAAAAAUCAGUAAGGAUUUAAAAGUUUUAAAAGAAAUGCGAAAAGAAAAUAUUUGCUACAACUGAUGUUUCUAAGUGUAAAUUAUCGAAAAAAAAAAAAAAAAAUCAAAGAAGAGAAUAAAAUUUGCACCCUAUAAUGGGCAAUCGUCGCCUUAGUGAAAACCAUACACAAUUUAUAAAAAUAUUUACUAAAUACUAAAAUUAAUUUUCUAAAACCUAAAUCUAAUAUCACAGAUAGUUCAUAAAAUGAUUUUAAAGUUAAAAAUCAAUGCUUAAACUAAUAUCACAUUAAAGCUUAUGAAAACUGUUAAAUGAUUAAAAUAUGUGAAAAGAAAAAUUUAAAUGAUUAAUAAGUUGAAAGCUUAAUAACUAAUACAUAUCACAGAUUUAAAAUUUCAAAUAAAGUUUAAACAAAAUUUUAACAAACUGUGUGUUAAACAUCUUUGCUAAAGCUAUAAUGAAUUGAAAGUUUUAAUACCCAAGAGAAACCAAAGAAAAGAACAAAAUAUAUGUACCCUAUAAUGUGUAUUAGUCGCACUAGCAAACUAUACGACCGUUCAAAUUAAAAUUUCAAAUUAAUAAUAAAUUAAAUUACCUAAAUUUAAACUAAACAACUAGUAUCACACA